AUUGAACGCUGGCGGCAUGCCUUACACAUGCAAGUCGAACGGUAGCACAGGAGAGCUUGCUCUCUGGGUGGCGAGUGGCGGACGGGUGAGGAAUACAUCGGAAUCUACUUUUUCGUGGGGGAUAACGUAGGGAAACUUACGCUAAUACCGCAUACGACCUACGGGUGAAAGCAGGGGACCUUCGGGCCUUGCGCGAUUGAAUGAGCCGAUGUCAGAUUAGCUAGUUGGCGGGGUAAAGGCCCACCAAGGCGACGAUCCGUAGCUGGUCUGAGAGGAUGAUCAGCCACACUGGAACUGAGACACGGUCCAGACUCCUACGGGAGGCAGCAGUGGGGAAUAUUGGACAAUGGGCGCAAGCCUGGUCCAGCCAUACCGCGUGGGUGAAGAAGGCCUUCGGGUUGUAAAGCCCUUUUGUUGGGAAAGAAAUCCAGCUGGCUAAUACCCGGUUGGGAUGACGGUACCCAAAGAAUAAGCACCGGCUAACUUCGUGCCAGCCGCCGCAGUAA
This 506-nucleotide ribosomal RNA is filed under the name uncultured bacterium. Its description in RNAcentral is "partial 16S ribosomal RNA". It matches the Rfam family "Bacterial small subunit ribosomal RNA", at positions 30 to 523 of the family's 1533-position model. The record is from RNAcentral.